GCAGGGCAGUGUCUUACCCUCCUACACUAACAUUGUAGGUAACAAUUUCUGAAGGACCAAUGGGAACUUUUGAUGCUGUGUCCUCCGUAAAUUAUGACUGAGAGGCCCUUGAAAGUUUACCAUAUCUAAAGCCCCAUCAGUCAGCCUGUGUGGGGAAUCAGAGAAGUGGCAUGGGUGUGGCCCCCAAUUCAGCUUAAGGGUCACUUAACUGUGCAGCUGAGCUUCCUGAGUAUAACAAACCAUAGAUCUUCUGCCAACUCAAGGUUCUGGGGGUGCUCGGUGAGGACCUCAAUGUUUGGAAGUUCAGAAGGAGGAUUUAUGAGGUUUGCAGAAAUAAUGGCUUAAUGAGGUGAUGCAGGAAGAGUACUUCAAGAGGAUCCACAGUCUGUGACACACUUUGAGAAGAUGUGAGUGUGGGACGUGAUACCCAGGAAAAUCCUUCCCAGCACCAUGGUAUAAGAGAUCAUUGAAUCUGGCAUAUGAUGCUUUUAAAGAAAGAUCUAGAUCAAAAGGGUAAAAUGUUAGCAUUAAUAUUCAGAAGCCCUAUUUAAAUUGGUUUGGGGGACUAGAAAGAGAGUGUCUUUAUGGGCAUAAAUCAGUAAGUUAUGGGACCCAACAUGACUUGCAUCUAACACAGAGGAUGAAGCUGUCUCCCUCUCUGAGGGGGAGGGUGCUCUGCAGAGGUGAUUUAGAGUGUUGUUAACCUUGGAUUUGGGAUGUACACAUGGGUCUGUCCUUGAAGGCACUGUCCGAUUUUCCCUCUCGGGUUCUUUGUUUCCAAAUAAGCCCAUCUGUUGUUGCUUUUGUUUGAGGUCAACUGGUGAGAAAUAUACAGGGGUUCCAUGGCUGCUGUGCUGGCUGUAGAUUUAUUUAGUCACAAAAAUUGCUAAUGUCAUUUGUAAAUCAGGUCACUGGGAUUUGUGGUCUCUCCUGCUUUGUGGCUAACA
Molecule: long non-coding RNA, 947 nt
Organism: Talpa occidentalis (Iberian mole)
Lineage: Eukaryota; Metazoa; Chordata; Mammalia; Eulipotyphla; Talpidae
Exons: 3
Source: RefSeq, a predicted model, not a curated record